CCUACGGGUGGCAGCAGUGAGGAAUAUUGGUCAAUGGACGAGAGUCUGAACCAGCCAAGUCGCGUGAAGGAUGACUGCCCUAUGGGUUGUAAACUUCUUUUAUAUGGGAAUAAAAUGUUCCACGUGUGGGAUUUUGUAUGUACCAUAUGAAUAAGGAUCGGCUAAAUCCGUGCCAGCAGCCGGGGUAAUACGGAGGGUCCGAGCGUUAUCCGGAUUUAUUGGGUUUAAAGGGAGCGUAGGUGGGUUGUUAAGUCAGUUGUGAAAGUUUGCGGCUUAACCCUAAAAUUGCAGUUGAAACUGGCAGUCUUGAGUACAGUAGAGGUGGGCGGAAUUCGUGGUGUAGCGGUGAAAUGCGUAGAUAUCACGAAGAACUCCGAUUGCGAAGGCAGUUCACUGGACUGCAACUGACACUGAGGCUCGAAAGUGUGGGUAUCAAACAGGAUUAGAUACCCCUGUAGUC
RNAcentral lists this ribosomal RNA (460 nucleotides) under uncultured bacterium. RNAcentral describes it as "partial 16S ribosomal RNA". It matches the Rfam family "Bacterial small subunit ribosomal RNA", at positions 338 to 795 of the family's 1533-position model. The record is from RNAcentral.